AAUGAGAUGGCAGAGUGUUAGAGCGGUGAAUUGUAAAUUCAUAUAGGAAGGUUAGAGUCCUUUUCUUAUUA
This 71-nucleotide transfer RNA is filed under the name Freyastera benthophila. Its description in RNAcentral is "tRNA-Tyr". It matches the Rfam family "tRNA". Rfam says of the family: Transfer RNA (tRNA) molecules are approximately 80 nucleotides in length. Lineage: Eukaryota; Metazoa; Echinodermata; Asteroidea; Brisingida; Brisingidae. The record is from RNAcentral.